UGAGGAACAUGACCUUCGGCGGGGGAUAGCCGGCCCAACGGCCGGGUAAUACCGCGUACGACCACAUGGGGACAUCCCUGAGUGGUGAAAGCAGCAAUGCGCCGAUGGAGUGCCUCGCGGCCUAUCAGCUAGUUGGUGAGGUAACGGCUCACCAAGGCGACGACGGGUAGCUGGUCUGAGAGGAUGGCCAGCCACAGUUGGGACUGAGACACGGCCCAGACCUCGUACGGGAG
This 233-nucleotide ribosomal RNA is filed under the name uncultured bacterium. RNAcentral's name for it is "partial 16S ribosomal RNA". It matches the Rfam family "Bacterial small subunit ribosomal RNA", at positions 118 to 347 of the family's 1533-position model. The record is from RNAcentral.